Molecule: transfer RNA, 75 nt
Filed under: Actinomycetota bacterium
Lineage: Bacteria; Bacillati; Actinomycetota
Description: tRNA-Arg
Rfam family: tRNA
About the family: Transfer RNA (tRNA) molecules are approximately 80 nucleotides in length. Their secondary structure includes four short double-helical elements and three loops (D, anti-codon, and T loops).
Source: RNAcentral
GCCCCUGUAGCUCAGCGUGGAUAGAGCGGCUGCCUUCUAAGCAGCGGGUCGCAGGUUCGAGUCCUGCCGGGGGCG